This 923-nucleotide non-coding RNA is filed under the name Cruziohyla calcarifer (splendid leaf frog). RNAcentral's name for it is "partial 12S ribosomal RNA". It matches the Rfam family "Bacterial small subunit ribosomal RNA". Lineage: Eukaryota; Metazoa; Chordata; Amphibia; Anura; Hylidae. The record is from RNAcentral.
UGGUCCUAACCUUAAAAUCAAUUAAUACUUAACUUACACAUGCAAGUCUCCGCACUCCCGUGAGAAUGCCCUAAAUCUCCCUUAGAGACAAGGAGCUGGUAUCAGGCUCACUUUUAGCCCAAGACACCUAGCUAUGCCACAUCUUCAAAGAAUUUCAGCAGUGAUUAAAAUUGAACAUAAGCGUCAGCUAGAUUCAGUUAAAGUUCAUAGAGCCGGCAAAAUUGGUGCCAGCCGCCGCGGUUACACCAAUUGGCUCAAAUUGAUUUUUUUCGGCGUAAAGCGUGAUUAAAGCCCCAAAAAAUUAAAGUUAAACUAUCACUAAGCCGUGACACGCUUGUGCUUGGGAAGAUCAAAAACGAAAGUUACUUUAACAUAACCAACUUGAACUCACGACAGUUAAAACACAAACUGGGAUUAGAUACCCCACUAUGUUUAACCGUAAACUUUUAUUUACAUCAGAUAACGCCCGGGAACUACGAGCAAAGCUUAAAACCCAAAGGACUUGACGGUACCCCAUAUCCACCUAGAGGAGCCUGUCCUAUAAUCGAUAAUCCCCGCUUAACCUCACCAUUUUUAGCCUAUCAGCCUGUAUACCUCCGUCGUCAGCUUACCACGUGAGCGAAUUUUAGUAAGCCUAAUGCCCUCUACGCCAACACGUCAGGUCAAGGUGCAGCAAAUAAAAUGGGAAGAGAUGGGCUACACUUUCUAAAUUAGAAAACACGAAAAACUACUUAUGAAACCUAGUUAGAAGGCGGAUUUAGCAGUAAAAAGCAACUAGUGAGUUCUUUUUAAUUCGGCACUGGGGUGUGUACACACCGCCCGUCACCCUCUUCAAAGCCAUUAAUUAGUAUAAUAACACAAUUACGCACUAAAGAAGAGGUAAGUCGUAACAUGGUAAGUAUACCGGAAGGUGUGCUUGGAAA